This 465-nucleotide ribosomal RNA is filed under the name Vreelandella stevensii. RNAcentral's name for it is "partial 16S ribosomal RNA". It matches the Rfam family "Bacterial small subunit ribosomal RNA", at positions 338 to 795 of the family's 1533-position model. Lineage: Bacteria; Pseudomonadati; Pseudomonadota; Gammaproteobacteria; Oceanospirillales; Halomonadaceae. The record is from RNAcentral.
CCUACGGGGGGCAGCAGUGGGGAAUAUUGGACAAUGGGGGGAACCCUGAUCCAGCCAUGCCGCGUGUGUGAAGAAGGCCCUCGGGUUGUAAAGCACUUUCAGUGAGGAAGAACGCCUGGUGGUUAAUACCCAUCAGGAAAGACAUCACUCACAGAAGAAGCACCGGCUAACUCCGUGCCAGCAGCCGCGGUAAUACGGAGGGUGCGAGCGUUAAUCGGAAUUACUGGGCGUAAAGCGCGCGUAGGUGGCUUGAUAAGCCGGUUGUGAAAGCCCCGGGCUCAACCUGGGAACGGCAUCCGGAACUGUCAAGCUAGAGUGUAGGAGAGGAAGGUAGAAUUCCCGGUGUAGCGGUGAAAUGCGUAGAGAUCGGGAGGAAUACCAGUGGCGAAGGCGGCCUUCUGGACUGACACUGACACUGAGGUGCGAAAGCGUGGGUAGCAAACAGGAUUUGAUACCCCAGUAGUC